Long non-coding RNA from Eriocheir sinensis (Chinese mitten crab), 799 nucleotides. RefSeq lists it as uncharacterized. The record is from RefSeq and is a predicted model, not a curated record. The transcript is spliced from 2 exons. Lineage: Eukaryota; Metazoa; Arthropoda; Malacostraca; Decapoda; Varunidae.
CUCUCUCUCUCUCUCUCUCUCUCUCUCUCUCUCUCUCUCUCUUCUCGUAACUUUGUGCCCACCUUUUCAUUCCCUCGGGCCGCCAGGUGAGAAGGGGAAAGUACAGGUAACAGGUAGACGGAGAAAAGGUAUAAAAGAAUCUAGGUAAGUAAGAAUGAAUGAGGUUUUGGUGAUGCGGAAGAAAGGAAAUGGUAAAAAAAAAGAGGGAGAGGAAGAAGGUAAAAAGUGGAGGUUACUGAAAGACAUGGGAAUGGAAGGAGAUGGUUAUGGUGAAGGAGUUAGGAAAAGGAAAGAAGAACGUAAGGGAUGUUAGUGAUGGAGGUGAAAAGAAGGAAAUGAAGAGAAGAUGGGACUGGAAGAAGAUAAAGGGGAGGGAAGUUACUGAAAGACAUGCGGAGGGAAGGUAAAAGUUAUGGUGAAGGAGUUUGGUCUGGUGAUGAGAAAGAGAAAGAAAAGAGUAAAAAAAGUGAGAGAGGAAGAAGAUAAAGAAAGGAGAGGUUACUGAAAGACAUGGGAGGGAAGGAGAAAGUUAUGGUGGAGGAGUUUUGGUUUGGUGAUGGGGAAGAGAAAGAAAAGAGGAAAAAAAAUAAAGUGGAAGUGGAGGAAGAUAAAAAAAAGGAGAGGUUAAUGAAAGACAUGGAAGGGAAGAAGUUAAUGGUCGCUGAGGAUGGAGAGAAAGUAUAGAAAAGAUGCAAGCGGGCGAAGAUAAGAAGAGAUAGAUGGGAAAGAAAGAAAACUAGGAGAAAGGGUAGAAGAGGAAGAAAAUACAACCGUGUACUGAAAGAAAGAGAGGGAAAGG